RNAcentral lists this ribosomal RNA (484 nucleotides) under uncultured bacterium. Its description in RNAcentral is "partial 16S ribosomal RNA". It matches the Rfam family "Bacterial small subunit ribosomal RNA", at positions 30 to 507 of the family's 1533-position model. The record is from RNAcentral.
AUUGAACGCUGGCGGCAGGCCUAACACAUGCAAGUCGAGCGGAUGAAGGGAGCUUGCUCCUGGAUUCAGCGGCGGACGGGUGAGUAAUGCCUAGGAAUCUGCCUGGUAGUGGGGGAUAACGUCCGGAAACGGGCGCUAAUAUCGCAUACGUCCUGAGGGAGAAAGUGGGGGAUCUUCGGACCUCACGCUAUCAGAUGAGCCUAGGUCGGAUUAGCUAGUUGGUGGGGUAAAGGCCUACCAAGGCGACGAUCCGUAACUGGUCUGAGAGGAUGAUCAGUCACACUGGAACUGAGACACGGUCCAGACUCCUACGGGAGGCAGCAGUGGGGAAUAUUGGACAAUGGGCGAAAGCCUGAUCCAGCCAUGCCGCGUGUGUGAAGAAGGUCUUCGGAUUGUAAAGCACUUUAAGUUGGGAGGAAGAGCAGUAAGUUAAUACCUUGCUGUUUUGACGUUACCAACAGAAUAAGCACCGGCUAACUUCGUG